CAAUAGCGUAUAUUAAAGUUGUUGCAGUUAAAAAGCUCGUAGUUGGAUUUCGGGGCAGCCUGGCUGGUCCGCCGCAAGGCGAGUACUGGUCAGCCGCCCUUCCUCUCGAAAGCCCCGACUGCUCUUCGUUGCAGUGGUCGGGUAGUUCGGGACGUUUACUUUGAAAAAAUUAGAGUGUUCAAGGCAGGCCUACGCCUGAAUACAUUAGCAUGGAAUAAUGGAAGAGGACCUCGGUCCUAUUUUGUUGGUUUCCAGGGCCGAAGUAAUGAUUAAGAGGGACAGUUGGGGGCAUUCGUAUUUAAUUGUCAGAGGUGAAAUUCUCGGAUUUAUGAAAGACGAACAACUGCGAAAGCAUUUGUCAAGGAUGUUUUCAUUAA
RNAcentral lists this ribosomal RNA (377 nucleotides) under uncultured eukaryote. RNAcentral's name for it is "partial 18S ribosomal RNA". It matches the Rfam family "Eukaryotic small subunit ribosomal RNA", at positions 592 to 976 of the family's 1831-position model. The record is from RNAcentral.